RNAcentral lists this ribosomal RNA (497 nucleotides) under uncultured bacterium. Its description in RNAcentral is "partial 16S ribosomal RNA". It matches the Rfam family "Bacterial small subunit ribosomal RNA", at positions 28 to 507 of the family's 1533-position model. The record is from RNAcentral.
GAUGAACGCUGGCGGCGUGCCUAAUACAUGCAAGUCGAGCGAACAGAUGAGGAGCUUGCUCCUCUGACGUUAGCGGCGGACGGGUGAGUAACACGUGGAUAACCUACCUAUAAGACUGGGAUAACUUCGGGAAACCGGAGCUAAUACCGGAUAAUAUAUUGAACCGCAUGGUUCAAUAGUGAAAGACGGUUUUGCUGUCACUUAUAGAUGGAUCCGCGCCGCAUUAGCUAGUUGGUAAGGUAACGGCUUACCAAGGCAACGAUUCGUAGCCGAUCUGAGAGGGUGAUCGGCCACACUGGAACUGAGACACGGUCCAGACUCCUACGGGAGGCAGCAGUAGGGAAUAUUCCGCAAUGGGCGAAAGCCUGACGGAGCAACGCCGCGUGUGUGAUGAAGGUCUUCGGAUCGUAAAACUCUGUUAUUAGGGAAGAACAAAUGUGUAAGUAACUAUGCACGUCUUGACGGUACCUAAUCAGAAAGCCACGGCUAACUACGUG